This is a non-coding RNA of Podarcis lilfordi (Lilford's wall lizard), 608 nucleotides long. The record is from the annotation of a GenBank genome assembly. Lineage: Eukaryota; Metazoa; Chordata; Lepidosauria; Squamata; Lacertidae.
UUAAAAAGUUUCCAUCUUAAUGGCCUCUGAAGCUACCCUUUCUUACAAUAUUGCUAUCAAGAAAGCAUCUGACAUGGUAAAAAAUCUUGCAGACCUGGAAGAGCCAUGUUGCCAGUUGGUGAGACUCCACCAGCAGCUUACCCAUCCAACAGGCGAGACUGUGGACUGUAACUGUUGAGUGCCUGUUAGCGCUUGCUUCCUGCAGCCGAAAGAGCAAUGGGUCUUCGAAAGAGCACUGAAGAGCUUGCUUGUUUCCUUUUGAAAACAGACUGUGCAAUAGGAAGCACAGAAGCAGAAUGAGGUCAUGUUUCCUGCUAAGUCUAGCUUCGCAUCACAAGCAUUCUUUCUGAAGAGUCCGUUGCAGAUUAGAGAUUAGCCCACUGGAGAAUUCAGAUGUUAAGGUAUCUUCAGCUAUGAAUAGAAGGGUCUUGCUUGUUGCAUUGUUCUUGGCAAAGAACAAAUUUCAGAAACAGUGGGAGGUGGUAGAUGAGCAGUUCACUAGGUCCAAGAGAAAGGUCUGGUUUGGAUGAGUUACUAUCAAAACAGGUAUCAGUGAGAGUGGUGUGAGGGGAGAGAUAAUCUGAGAAAUAAAGUGAUAUUAUACAUGC